Molecule: ribosomal RNA, 459 nt
Filed under: uncultured bacterium
Lineage: Bacteria
Description: partial 16S ribosomal RNA
Rfam family: Bacterial small subunit ribosomal RNA
Source: RNAcentral
CCUACGGGCGGCAGCAGUGAGGAAUAUUGGUCAAUGGCCGCAGGGCUGAACCAGCCAAGUCGCGUGAGGGAUGACGGUCCUAUGGAUUGUAAACCUCUUUUGUCAGGGAGCAAAGGGCGCCACGUGUGGCGCUUUGCGAGUACCUGAAGAAAAAGCAUCGGCUAACUCCGUGCCAGCAGCCGCGGUAAUACGGAGGAUGCGAGCGUUAUCCGGAUUUAUUGGGGUUAAAGGGUGCGCAGGCGGAAUGUCAAGUCAGCGGUAAAAUUUCGGGGCUCAACCCCGUCGUGCCGUUGAAACUGGCGUUCUUGAGUGGGCGAGAAGUAUGCGGAAUGCGUGGUGUAGCGGUGAAAUGCAUAGAUAUCACGCAGAACUCCGAUUGCGAAGGCAGCAUACCGGCGCUCAACUGACGCUCAUGCACGAAAGCGUGGGUAUCGAACAGGAUUAGAUACCCCUGUAGUC